Molecule: ribosomal RNA, 408 nt
Filed under: Triticum aestivum (bread wheat)
Lineage: Eukaryota; Viridiplantae; Streptophyta; Magnoliopsida; Poales; Poaceae
Description: partial small subunit ribosomal RNA
Source: RNAcentral
AUGCGGUGCCGACGUAGUUCUCUUCUACCACCUGGUCUUCCUAUUCUCCUUGCUUUCCGAUUGCCGGCGGCCGCAAGAGAAGCGACGGGCCUUUCGGCGGCUAGAGCAGGCCGCGGGACGGCAGUGGCGGCUUCGGCGGCCGAGCAGACGAUACCGACGACGGCGAUGAACCAGUGGAGGACGGACACCAAAGGCCGCGAAGGAAUCUCCGACAGGGACACGUUGGCUCGGCGUGGCAGAAGUAUCGAGAGGCCGCCGCCUGCACCACAGUCCACAGGGCCCCACACUCCGGCCACCGCUGGCUGUCGUCCCCGCACAACCUACCGCCUAGAUGCGUCCACCCCUGCAACACAGGGUUCCACACGGCAGCUGCUCGAGCCCGCGGCCAUCCCGUCGAUCUCGCGAUGA